AAUCAUCUCAAUCGUAGCUUUUUGUGUUUUCAUUAGAGGGUUUCGUGAAGACCUUUUGCUCAAUCAAGCCUGUAUAAUUUCUAUAAGGCUCUUUGCUUCACUUGGGACCUGUGUCAUUUUUUAUUUUUUAUUUUUGAAAAAAGAAAAAUUCUGAGUCGGUUGUUGAUUUCUCUGUCAAGAAAGGUUGUAGAUGUAGAGCUGGUGGUACAGUCUGGGUCGGACUCGCAGAUGCCGGAACCGAUCCGAACGCGGACCCAGACCCGCGAUUCGAUACUUCGGAUGAAUCGGAAGAUGGCAGCGAGAGGCUGAGAGAAGUAGGUGGAUCGGUAGCUGAAGAUGAAGUAUCAAUCUGAUGAUGAUGAUGAUGACUCAACGGAGCAAUGGCACCUGAUAAAGGGAGGGGGUGUGAAAACUUGUGUUAAAGGCAUUCCAGGUAAACUCGAAUCGCUCAAGUCAGAUCCGGAUGGACUACCGGGGUUAAGAAACCCACCCGUAACGACUGUACCCGCACCGACACUAGCUGAUUUCUUUGUCGAAGACAUUAUAACAAUCCUAAUCUGGCGUUAAUCUUGUUGAUUUCGAUUUAUGCUCAGCAGUGGUCGUUCUGUGUACAUUUAAGUUUCUCACGCUAGAUCUAGAGUUAGAGCACAAAAUUUUAUAAGCUGUCGUGCACUCUCAUAAGUUCCCCACAUCAAAUUAGAGGAAAAGCAUGGGACUUUUUGAUGGAUUGCCUGUCUCUCCAAAUAAAGCAGAUUUAAGGGAAGAGCUUUCACGCAUAGAUGAGAGCUGGGCUGCUGCACGGUUUGAUUCAUUGCCUCAUGUUGUCCAUAUUUUGACAUCAAAAGAUCGUGAAGCUGAAGUUCAGUUUCUGAAGGAGCAAAGUGAUGUUGUUGAGGAGGUUGUGGAUGAAGUAGUGCAUGCUUAUCACAGUGGCUUCAACAAAGCAAUUCAAAAUUAUUCCCAGGUCCACAAAUAAUUGUCAAAGAUUUAUUUGGAUUAUGUACAUUUAUACUUAUUUUUAUUGAUUUCUUCAUAUAUACAUUUAUAGUAUUCAUGAUGGAAAAAAUGAUUUUUUUUAUAAGAAAAAUAAAUUAUUCCCGCACCGACACUGGCUGAUUUCUUUGUCGAAGACAUUAUAACAAUCCUAAUCAGAAGUUUCCAGGUAUAUAUAAUAUCAAAUAUAGCAAACGAUAUAUAAAAUUUUGUUGAUUUAUAGAUUAUUACAGAUAUAUAUAUUUUUACAAUUUUUUUUUUUAUAUAUAUAAUAAUAAAUAUAAUGAGAUUAGAAAAGAUGUUUUAGAAGGUGGUGGAGGCGGAGCCUCACAUUGGUCUGAGGGGAAAGAAAUGUUACAGGAGUGGGAAGGUAUAUAUAUGGUGGUUGAGUUUUGUAAGACUUUAAUGGUGGUUUCUGAGAUGUCCCUGCUUAAUAAUAUAUCAGAAAUCCAUUAUUAAUAUAUACACUUAUUAAUUAUAUAGACCAACAAUGGCAGUAGGGGGAUUAAGUACAGUUGGAGGAAUUGAAUAUGAAGCAAAAAUUACUCCAAUUGUUGUUAUUUCUUGUAUAAUGGCCACCACUGGAGGUCUUAUGUUUGGUUAUGAUAUUGGAAUUUCAGGGGGUGUGACACCUUUGGUGCUUCUUACACCACCAGAAGCCUCGGAAGAAGGCUGACCAUGUUGAUUGCCGGCAUUUUCUUCAUAAUUGGCACCAUUCUUAAUGCUGCUGCUAUCAACUUCCUUAUGCUUGUCCUUGGAAGGCUCAUGCUUGGUUGUAGUGUUGGUUUUGCUAAUCAGGUCAAUCCUGAAGCCUCCACUCCAAUUUACUCGCUCCGUGGCCUCGACAACUUCAAGUUCUUCUCAUUGUCUUUCUACCGGCAUCGGUAAGAGUACUCUGUCUUCAUUGUCUUUUUACUUCUCAACACCUUAUCGUCUUUUUACUCUAUUCUCAAAUUUGCUGGAUUCUUUCCAAUUUCGUUGACUUUAUGUUUGCUGGUAAUUAAAGUUUAUUGCAAUUUUUCUAGAAUUUUCAAUUGCGUGGGUACUGAUUUUGCUGCCCUUUUAUAUUUUAAAGUUAUUUGUUUUGUGAAAAAAAUAUACAUUGGUUUGCUUUUCUUAUCGAAUUUGUCUUCUGGGUUUUGUUUGCUUUCUUGUUUUAAAUUCUGCUCCAUUGUUUUGUUACUUCUUUCUAAUUCAUGCUUCGGUUAGCCAGUUUCUCGUUUUAAAUUCUGAGCACUAGAGUUAGAUCCAAACAAAGGCGUUUAAAGUGGGGUUGUUGUUGGUUGUAGUCUGUCUUUAUAUUUUUUUUUUUGGAUAAAAUAUAAACUUGUAUGACUCAAAGUGUGUGGUUGCAUUGGUUUGUUUAUUAAAGAAUAAUACAAAGUAAAUUUAUAACAUGUAAAUGUAAUAUAUGGUCAAUAAUUAAUCAUAUAUAUAUAUAUCAUCUUGUCUAAAACAAAUAUACAAACUAAUUAAUACACAUACAUAUAAACUUCAUCAUGCAUGCAUAAUAUUUAUAUACAUAUAUAUUGACUUUCAUCGUUCUCACAAUUAAUAUAAGUCAUUCUUUACAUAUCACACAAUACAUUAAAACAUAUGCAUAGAGUACUAUAGUGACCAUGAUCAUAUAUAUACAUACAGAUUAUAUAAUAUAUAUAUAGAGAUAUAUAAUUAGUAGUUGUUAGUACUCCCAAUCAUCACUCUUCCAAUAUUUGUUCCACAAGAUUGUAAUCCAUUAGAGCCAUCUCUAGGAGGACAAAAACUUAUAGGUAAAUAUGCUUCAAAUUCACAGCAAAACUCUGAUUUCCUAAAUCUUCUCUCCAAUCCCUCCCUUCCCUAUAUAUACAAUUCAAAUAUUUGUUACUUUAAUAAUUAAUAAAUAAAUAAACAAAAAAUUUAGAAAAACACCCACUAAUAUAUUAAUUGCACAUUUGGCUUAAAAAUAAAAUAAUAUGUUUAAUCAUAUAUAUAUAAUGUAGUUACUUGAAUGGUUGCAUGGACAAUUUGUCGAAUUUUAGGAGAUCUAAAAUAGUCCCAUUUUUUGUGAUCCAUAGCUUCCCAAAAUUUCAAUGCUGCUCUUGCAUCUGUGAAAUUAACAAAGGCAUAACCUUUGUUCAACUUUCUCCUACAAAAUUAAUUAAUAAUGAUAUAUAUUAUUAUUACAAUAAUAUUCAUAAUAAACUAAUAUUUAUAUAUAUAUAUAUAAUGCUUACCUGAAAUCCAUUGGAAGAUAGAGAAAAUCAUAGGCUGAGUAUAUAUGAUGAUGAUGAUCAUCAUUUUCCAACUUACAGAAGUUAUCCACAAACUCUAUAAGCAUUUCACGCCUAUCAUUUCAAGCAACAUUGCCAUAUAUAUAAAUUAUAUCAAUUAUAUAUAUGAUCAAAUAAAUAAAUAAAACUAAGGAAAAUUAAUUGAUAUAUUUUAUUUGUAACUUUUUUUUAAAAUUUACAGUAUAUAUGAUCAAAUAAAUAAAUAAAAUAUAAACAAACCAAUUUUUCUAAAAUUUUCAAUUGCGUGGGUACUGAUUUUGCUGCCCUUUUAUAUUUUAAAGUUAUUUGUUUUGUGAAAAAAAUAUACAUUGGUUUGCUUUUCUUAUCGAAUUUGUCUUCUGGGUUUUGUUUGCUUUCUUGUUUUAAAUUCUGCUCCAUUGUUUUGUUACUUCUUUCUAAUUCAUGCUUCGGUUAGCCAGUUUCUCGUUUUAAAUUCUGAGCACUAGAGUUAGAUCCAAACAAAGGCGUUUAAAACUCAUUGAUUUAUUUUGUAAUUAAUAUACACAAAAAAUUAAUUAAAAAUCAUUGAUUUUUUUGUACUUAAUAUAAUAUUGAAUUCUAUUACAUAUGUAGUUUUUUUUUUUUUUUUUUUUUUUUUUUGCGUAAAGCAUAUUAUUGGAUUGAAGCCGAAAUCAUGUUAAAAAAUAUCAACCAAGAUUUUUAUUACAUGUCGUGUGAUUUUUGUAAUAAGAAACUUAUGUUCUACAACGACAACGAAGAAACAAACAUUGUGAAAAUCCAAAAUGCGGAAAAAGAUGUCUUCCUACACCACGUGCAAGGACAUAUGUACAACUCGACGAUGAUACAGAGCUGCUAGAUGCUGUGAUGUUCGGUGAUGUUGCAGAAAACAUAUUCUCAUGUACUGCAGUUCAAUUAAGAUCAUAUUCGGACGAGAAACAUAAGUUGUUUGUCCAAAAAACUACAAGGCAAUUAUCAGCCAAAAAAUGGAGAAUUCAGUUGUACGUAGAUGCAAACUGCAAACCGAACAAUGAGUUCAAAGUACAAUCAGUUCACCAUUCAAGCAGUUGAACCAAUGGAAGAUUAGGCAGAAGUUGCCAUUUUUCUUUUACAGUAAUUUUAUUUUAUUUAGUGUUAAGACUUUUCUUGGUGCCGAGCUUCUUUCACUCUCUAUUGACUUGUUAUCUACGGAUUUACAUGGAGUAUCGUAUGCAAGUAUUUCAUGUACCCAAUUUUCUAGAAGUAAAUAAUAAGUAUCGUUUUAUUUUGAUUUA
Molecule: long non-coding RNA, 4495 nt
Organism: Cannabis sativa
Lineage: Eukaryota; Viridiplantae; Streptophyta; Magnoliopsida; Rosales; Cannabaceae
Exons: 7
Source: RefSeq, a predicted model, not a curated record